GGGUUGUGAGGUUAAGCGACUAAGCGUACACGGUGGAUGCCCUGGCAGUCAGAGGCGAUGAAGGACGUGCUAAUCUGCGAUAAGCGUCGGUAAGGUGAUAUGAACCGUUAUAACCGGCGAUUUCCGAAUGGGGAAACCCAGUGUGUUUCGACACACUAUCAUUAACUGAAUCCAUAGGUUAAUGAGGCGAACCGGGGGAACUGAAACAUCUAAGUACCCCGAGGAAAAGAAAUCAACCGAGAUUCCCCCAGUAGCGGCGAGCGAACGGGGAGCAGCCCAGAGCCUGAAUCAGUGUGUGUGUUAGUGGAAGCGUCUGGAAAGGCGCGCGAUACAGGGUGACAGCCCCGUACACAAAAAUGCACAUGCUGUGAGCUCGAUGAGUAGGGCGGGACACGUGGUAUCCUGUCUGAAUAUGGGGGGACCAUCCUCCAAGGCUAAAUACUCCUGACUGACCGAUAGUGAACCAGUACCGUGAGGGAAAGGCGAAAAGAACCCCGGCGAGGGGAGUGAAAAAGAACCUGAAACCGUGUACGUACAAGCAGUGGGAGCACGCUUAGGCGUGUGACUGCGUACCUUUUGUAUAAUGGGUCAGCGACUUAUAUUCUGUAGCAAGGUUAACCGAAUAGGGGAGCCGAAGGGAAACCGAGUCUUAACUGGGCGUUAAGUUGCAGGGUAUAGACCCGAAACCCGGUGAUCUAGCCAUGGGCAGGUUGAAGGUUGGGUAACACUAACUGGAGGACCGAACCGACUAAUGUUGAAAAAUUAGCGGAUGACUUGUGGCUGGGGGUGAAAGGCCAAUCAAACCGGGAGAUAGCUGGUUCUCCCCGAAAGCUAUUUAGGUAGCGCCUCGUGAAUUCAUCUCCGGGGGUAGAGCACUGUUUCGGCAAGGGGGUCAUCCCGACUUACCAACCCGAUGCAAACUGCGAAUACCGGAGAAUGUUAUCACGGGAGACACACGGCGGGUGCUAACGUCCGUCGUGAAGAGGGAAACAACCCAGACCGCCAGCUAAGGUCCCAAAGUCAUGGUUAAGUGGGAAACGAUGUGGGAAGGCCCAGACAGCCAGGAUGUUGGCUUAGAAGCAGCCAUCAUUUAAAGAAAGCGUAAUAGCUCACUGGUCGAGUCGGCCUGCGCGGAAGAUGUAACGGGGCUAAACCAUGCACCGAAGCUGCGGCAGCGACGCUUAUGCGUUGUUGGGUAGGGGAGCGUUCUGUAAGCCUGUGAAGGUGUGCUGUGAGG
This 1237-nucleotide ribosomal RNA is filed under the name Escherichia coli. Its description in RNAcentral is "partial 23S ribosomal RNA". It matches the Rfam family "Bacterial large subunit ribosomal RNA", at positions 1 to 1268 of the family's 2925-position model. The record is from RNAcentral. Lineage: Bacteria; Pseudomonadati; Pseudomonadota; Gammaproteobacteria; Enterobacterales; Enterobacteriaceae.